GACAAAUGCCCUGCUUCCAGGAAAAGCCUCUAAGCAUCAGGUAACAUCAAAUCGUACCCCAAACCGACACAGGUGGUCAGGUAGAGAAUACCAAGGCGCUUGAGAGAACUCGGGUGAAGGAACUAGGCAAAAUGGUGCCGUAACUUCGGGAGAAGGCACGCUGAUAUGUAGGUGAAGCGACUUGCUCGUGGAGCUGAAAUCAGUCGAAGAUACCAGCUGGCUGCAACUGUUUAUUAAAAACACAGCACUGUGCAAACACGAAAGUGGACGUAUACGGUGUGACGCCUGCCCGGUGCCGGAAGGUUAAUUGAUGGGGUUAGCGGUAACGCGAAGCUCUUGAUCGAAGCCCCGGUAAACGGCGGCCGUAACUAUAACGGUCCUAAGGUAGCGAAAUUCCUUGUCGGGUAAGUUCCGACCUGCACGAAUGGCGUAAUGAUGGCCAGGCUGUCUCCACCCGAGACUCAGUGAAAUUGAACUCGCUGUGAAGAUGCAGUGUACCCGCGGCAAGACGGAAAGACCCCGUGAACCUUUACUAUAGCUUGACACUGAACAUUGAGCCUUGAUGUGUAGGAUAGGUGGGAGGCUUUGAAGUGUGGACGCCAGUCUGCAUGGAGCCGACCUUGAAAUACCACCCUUUAAUGUUUGAUGUUCUAACGUUGGCCCGUAAUCCGGGUUGCGGACAGUGUCUGGUGGGUAGUUUGACUGGGGCGGUCUCCUCCUAAAGAGUAACGGAGGAGCACGAAGGUUGGCUAAUCCUGGUCGGACAUCAGGAGGUUAGUGCAAUGGCAUAAGCCAGCUUGACUGCGAGCGUGACGGCGCGAGCAGGUGCGAAAGCAGGUCAUAGUGAUCCGGUGGUUCUGAAUGGAAGGGCCAUCGCUCAACGGAUAAAAGGUACUCCGGGGAUAACAGGCUGAUACCGCCCAAGAGUUCAUAUCGACGGCGGUGUUUGGCACCUCGAUGUCGGCUCAUCACAUCCUGGGGCUGAAGUAGGUCCCAAGGGUAUGGCUGUUCGCCAUUUAAAGUGGUACGCGAGCUGGGUUUAGAACGUCGUGAGACAGUUCGGUCCCUAUCUGCCGUGGGCGCUGGAGAACUGAGGGGGGCUGCUCCUAGUACGAGAGGACCGGAGUGGACGCAUCACUGGUGUUCGGGUUGUCAUGCCAAUGGCACUGCCCGGUAGCUAAAUGCGGAAGAGAUAAGUGCUGAAAGCAUCUAAGCACGAAACUUGCCCCGAGAUGAGUUCUCCCUGACUCCUUGAGAGUCCUGAAGGAACGUUGAAGACGACGACGUUGAUAGGCCGGGUGUGUAAGCGCAGCGAUGCGUUGAGCUAACCGGUACUAAUGAACCGUGAGGCUUAACCUU
RNAcentral lists this ribosomal RNA (1359 nucleotides) under Escherichia coli. Its description in RNAcentral is "bacterial LSU rRNA". It matches the Rfam family "Bacterial large subunit ribosomal RNA", at positions 1592 to 2925 of the family's 2925-position model. Lineage: Bacteria; Pseudomonadati; Pseudomonadota; Gammaproteobacteria; Enterobacterales; Enterobacteriaceae. The record is from RNAcentral.